AAAACCAUGCAGAUAUUUGUAAAGUCACUCUUUAUACAAAAUGGAGGUAUCAUUACUUGCUUUGAGAUAAUAGCUAAGGCUGUAAUUACUAACACUGCUUAUGUCAUGACACUUAAUAUUACACUAUCCAUUAAAAUGUGUUAAACCAAAGUGUGAUAACUGUUGAAAACUUAGCCUCUCCUCUUCCGCAAGAAACCACAUCUUCUCACAUCCAACACUCCUAGAUAGUAAGAGCAGUCUCCUGCCUGAAAGAAUCUAGUGCUCCUAAAUGUAUAGAAUCCAGAUGUUAGUGGAUGGCUUCAAUCAUCCCACAUGGGACCCAUGUAGUGAACAUUUUCCUUUUUUUAUUUUUAAUGUCCAUAUGUUUGUUUGGCUAGAAAUCAAGUUUCAUUACAUGCUCCUAUUAUUCCACUGUAUAACAAUUUUAUUUAUAGGUCCUUCACAUAAGGACUAAUUUCUUUGAUAGAAAGGCUGCUAAUGCUUAUUUAAGCUCACUAUAAUGAAAACAAUAUUGUUGAAACACCAAACAAAUGCCCGACCUCAGAACCAUGUCUUUGGUCCUCUCCUGGAUAAUGGAACUUCACAAGGUCAACUUACUCUCUGGGCUCCUUACAAAAAUGCACUGAAGGUAGACAGGAACUUUAUUAAAUGCUGGAAAUUCAUGUAUAAAGCAAGUAUAGUGUACUUAAUCUCCAUAUUGGCAUCGAAAAAUCUUCCUCAUGCCAAGACUAUACUUGAAUUUAGGGGCUCACAUAGAUAAUGAAUGCCUUAGAAAACCAUGUAGGAAGUAGGCAAUUCUGUUUUUGAAUACACCCUAUAUGUGCGUACGCAUGUAGUAGAAAUGGCAGUCUUGAUUUCUGUUCUACUCUGCAAAAACAUGUUUGGUCAUGGCACAUAUUCCAAAACUGAAUGUAAAAUACAUUAUCUGAAAUAUUAAAAGUGCAUUGAUGUCAAGUCAGAUCCCAGCCUAUUCUUCCACAUUGAUCCAUAGGUAAUUAAAUUAUGUCCUGUAAAAAAUGCUUAGCUUGACAGCCUCACUUUCCCUUUCAGAGGGGUCUGGUAGUAAUCAAGGAUCCCUUGUUAUUAACUUUAGAAAGUUAUGUUCUCAGUGCAAAAAGUUUUCCGUUUUAAGAAUGUCACCUUUAUGUUUCAGAUGUUUACAUUUUUGCUCACCUAUGCAGCCAUGAACAAAU
RNAcentral lists this long non-coding RNA (1193 nucleotides) under Homo sapiens (human). RNAcentral describes it as "HSALNT0022063". The record is from RNAcentral. Lineage: Eukaryota; Metazoa; Chordata; Mammalia; Primates; Hominidae.